This is a long non-coding RNA of Chinchilla lanigera (long-tailed chinchilla), 5631 nucleotides long. RefSeq lists it as uncharacterized. Lineage: Eukaryota; Metazoa; Chordata; Mammalia; Rodentia; Chinchillidae. The record is from RefSeq and is a predicted model, not a curated record. The transcript has 3 exons.
GAAUGAAAGAGAUAGAUACUGCAGACCUUAGGUAACAAUGUAUCAAUAACGAUUCAUCCAUCCUAACGAAUGUGCAAUUCCAAAGUGAGAUGUUAGUGACAGAAGCAGCUAGAAGAGUACACGGCCACUCUGCGCUUUCUGCAAACCUAACACUGCUCCAAAGCUCUAUUACUUAAAGCAAAACCAAAACCGUUUUCUAUUAGCUAAGUAGCACAUCUGACUCAGGGCAUCGGGAGAUGCCGAAGAUGUUAGGGCACAGUCUCCUGCAAUGACUCAGACGCAUGUUAAUUUAUUUAUGUACUACCAUUUGUCCUCACAGAGAUGGGGGCUUGUGUAUAUUAAUGUCCUGCUUUUCUGGCUAACAGUGGAAAGGCAGAAAGCAUUUCUUUGUUGGCUUCUACCCAGCUGCCUUCAGAUCAAAAUGACGACGCUGUUUAAGGGGGUGUAUUUUGAGUGACAUAUUCUGGUCUCCAAAGUGUGCUGCCUUUUCUCUUACCUUACAGUUCCUCAUUUAUCAUCUCUGUAUUCCCAUUAGCACACCCCGAGCACAUGAUCUUCUAGUCCUGGGGAUGGAGAGUACAGGCCAUCACAGGAAGAGAGAAGUCACCCUCCUGGGAGUGCCAGGGAGCCAGGCAGGGCCUGCACGGAUCUGCAGGUUGACACAGCGUUCCCUCUGCAGAGAGAGGUCUGCGUGGAGCACACAGCACCUGCCCCUGGAAGCCUGCAGCAAGCAGGCCUCCACAGAAGCAGGGAGGAGGGUGACUUCACAGCUUGGGCCGAAUGGCUCUCGCAACAAUUCUUGCCCAACAGCACGGACUCCUGGGAUGACCUCGUGUUAGUCCCCUCCUGUCUCCCUCAUUUCCAACUUUUCGGAAGCCUUUCUCUCUCCAUCACUUCUCUGCAUUUCCUGGGCCUUCGCUUUGAUCUGGCCUCCUUUGCUAUUUCAGGAAUACCGUAUUGUUCUUCAGGGUUGUGUGUGCCUACAGCCUCGAAUGAGCCCGGUCUCUGGCCAUCAGUACUUGAAUUAAAUUGGUGGCACCAGUUCCACCAAGCGUCCUGAGAAUCUGUUUAACAGAGGCAAGGCCACUGCUUCCGGGCAGGCUGCGGACUGUGCGCUCACUUAGGAAAACUGAAUGUCUGCUUCCUCCCCGGCUCCUCAGGUGUGAUACCGUGUGUCUAACAUCUGUGUGUGAGGGGAUCCUUGGUUGUUAGCUGUUCUUUGUUAGGUUCCCCUGUAACUGGGACCAGCUCUAAAAUCACAUUUUCCACAUCUAAUUCCUCCUCAAAGCCAUUCUUCUCACUGAUAGUGUAACCCGAGCCUGACGUGUUCAAGUCCGCCCAGGAGAAAACAAAGCCCAACGCUAAGGAUACGUGAAGCGUAGGCCUUUUCAAGUCUUGGGCUUCCUCUCCGUUUCCUGGGUCCAGACUGAGCCUCAACAACAAUUUAAAGGAACCAGGCUGAAGCAGAGGCAGAGAGAGCAGCAAAACUGCCCUGUGAUUGGACAAAGAAGGAUCAGACACUGAUGCGUUGCAGGUAUCCAUGGCAGCCUGGCAGGUGCUCAAGAGUGGUCCUCGGAACUCCCAGGGCUCUCCGAGGCCCAUUUUACAGCCAGUUCAUGGGACCAACUGGGCGAGGAGCCAGCACCACAUGGAACGGGGACGGGAGGCAGGAGGCGGCCGCUCUCCUCUCGGGCACUAUCUCGAGCCCCGGGCUGCACAACAGCUGGCACUGCUUACCGCUGAGCUCGGCAGGACCCUAGGUGGGGACCUGCAGACUCUGAUUGGAAACUCCUGUGGCCUUUAAGGGCGUGUGACUACAGGGGGAGGCAUCUUGGGGGCCCUCUCUGCCCCAAGAGCUCUCUCUGGGGACCGGGUCGUCAGGCUCCUGAGGCUGGAGUUCCUCAGUGGCCUCCCCAGGUUCAGCGUGGGGACAGUUGUGAACCACUGUGGCAGGGGACAGCCUGGCUCACGACACGCAGGAAGGCCAAGAAAGACAUUUCCCGAACUCCCAGGAGGUGGCCUAGGUUCUGCUAAGCGGCAGUGCUCACGUGGAACCUGGAGGAGGAUGUGCGUCACACGGUGGGGGGAUCAGAACUGCUGGCAACCCAGGGUGGGGACCCCACACGCAACGGCUGCCACGGGAGAAGCACCAGGGGUGGCGCUGCACUGGCCCUGGCUGCACUGCCAGCGCCGGGGUGUCCCUGGGCGUCUUCGCUGGUCUCCAUCUUUCCUAAGGCUGCUGAAAAACUCAGCCCCAACCUCACGUGCAGAGGAUUCUGUUGUCUGCAACCCAGCGCACACAUGUGCCCCACACCUGUGUCCCUCAGCGCCACUCUGGGGGGCCCAGGGGCUCACACUACAAGUGAUUUGAAUUUCUAAAGCAACAAAUUGCAAUAAAUGGCAGUUAUCGGAAGCAUCUCAUUAUCUGAGAUGAUUCCUCAGAUAUUACAAGUACAUAAGGGACUGUAACUCAAGCAACGCCUUGGGAGCCGUUUUCAGUGUUUUAAGAGCCCCAUCAUGCUCCUUUGCGUGAAGGCACCUCUGACACUGCACAGGGACCCUUUCUGGAAUGUUAGGUACUCUUGCUUAACGAGCAACCUUUGUUCAGGCAUCCACUCAAGCCCUGGGGAAGGCCCUUCUUUAGGGUCCCCUAAGUCACUGCCUCGUAGCGUUGGGAAGGCACCACCAUGUGCAGCAGCUAGGAAAAUGGGCACUUCGGUGUCACGGCCAGCAACACUCCUCUGCAGCCACCCGCCGGUCAGUGCCACCCAGAUACCAGCCACCUUCACACACCUCCCUGGUCUAGAGAAGACGGACACCCACAGGGGGACUUACACAGAGUAUUCUUCUCUCCAGGUGCCACCAGGGCUGCCAGGGCUCUGCCUUGGAGGAUCCAGUGCCGCACUGUAAACUAGCAAUCUCCAAAGUCUUCCAAAGGCCAACACCCAGCACUUUGGCCGCUGGGGUCCCCAGGAGACUGCCCUCGUGUCCACAUGUAAAUACAGGAGUCAGGCUGGUCCUGACCUGUGAGCUCCGCCAUCAUACAGACACACGCAUACUGGCCGGCGUUCCCAUGUGCCCUUGGUCCUGAGCCCGCAAGCCCGGCCCCAAAGGGCGCUGGUGCAGGGAGGGAAACACACUGGGCGCUCAAGUGCUUGGAGUGCUUUGGGAUGGCCUCUGCAGCCUGAGCUGCCCCUCCACUGCGGCCUCCUCCUGCAACACGGUACCGCGAGCACCGACCUUACGAGGUGCUGGGGAGACACACUGAGCGGCCAGUACACUGCAAGGGCCACUUAGGGUUCACAGGGAUGUUUGACAACAUGCUCCCAAGGAAAAGGAUCCCAAGGAUGACAAAUCCCAAGGAAACACGCUCCUCUCUCAAAUAGCCUUCCUUAUAAAUCCAGGCUGGGAAGUAGUGUUUGAACUUGGGGGCUGCUGUCAAGUGACCAAGACUGCCCACCUCUUGCAGAGGCUCCAGAGUUCACAUUGGAAAUGAUCCUCACAUCAGCUUGGUAUAAACACGGUAGUUUGCAAACUGACCCCAAGCAUUUCACGCGGCUCUGGAGCCCAGGUUGAUUAGCCCCCAUGCCAGGGCCCAGAUGGAAAUUUAUACCAAAUAACACUGCAGAAAGGCACCAGAGCUACAGGUUUUUUAAGACUGCAAGUUUUGAAAAGCUGAUGCAGGUUAACGCACGGCUCAGGCCCGAGCUCUAGAAGUGUGCCUGCUGCCAAGUGGGGAGUGGAACAGUAUCUCUCCUUUAUGGACUUACCGCUUGUCCACCGGCCGCGCUGACGAGAGUGAAGACAAACUCUGAGCAGGGGACGGACCGAGGCCCAGCGUGUAUGGGAAACAUCCCAGGACCCCUCCCCAGGCAGCUGGUUCUUCCCGUCUGAGUGUCCCUCCUCCCACCACACAGGGCCGGACCCUGCGCCCCCAGUCAGAUACAGGAUUCCAGCUACUGAAUUCUUUCAACGUGGAGGGCGUGGCCGGAUGUGCCCAGGGACUCACAAGCAGCUGGGUCAACCCCUGACCCUCCAAAGGCAGCACCGGGUCUGCAAAUGCUGUUCUCCACCCGAGUCUGAUGGGAGAGCUGCCUGCUCUGCGGGGCAUUUCCUGCUCCUUCCGUGCUCCAACCACACACUGCUCCGGACUCCCUCCAGUCGGGUGCUGUGUUAGCGGGUGGUUCCUUUACCUACAGCUUAUUUCUGCCUAGGCUCUGUGAGGAGAGAGGUGUGUUCUUGUUCACUGCUGCAGCCCUCCUGCCUCGGACAGGCCCUGGCGCACGGCGGGUGCUCAGCAGGCCCCGAGUGCAGCGCCACUGGUGCCGUCAGCGCGAAGGGGUGGUCGCCACUCAGGCAGGUGGGCCGGGGGAAGGGAUUUCAUGCAGCAACACACUUUCCGGAUGAAGAUGUGGCGGCAGUUAAAGUGUUCUCCAGGGCUUCCUUGGGACCCCCAGCUAUUUCAGACGGGGAACUCAUCCCUGUCCCCAGUGUCCCCUUAACCAGUCUCCAACCAGUUCUGCUCACUGGGGCAGAACACGUGGUCUAAAUGCACAAACGAAUGAAGGGACAGAUGGUAAAACCUGCCCUGUGACUGGUCUGCUUUGGCCAGUGGAUGUCAGCCGCCACAGUCAGUGUUUACUUCAGGUUCAAACUAAGAACAAAGCUUCGGGGUUGCAGUGGGAAGUGAGGCAGGGCGAGCAAAGAGCUGGGAGGCAGAGUCAGGAAGGGGCCAUGCAGCAAGAGGAGAUGGAAAACAACCUGGGACAGUCAGGGAACCCUGGGCCAUGCCUCCAGGACGAAGGCGGAGGAACUUCUGCGUUUCCUGUUUUCACGACUUUCUCAUGAGGAGGCUGGAACUGUCCAUCGUCCCCUGCACUGGGGGUUGUGCCUGUCUGGGAUGACAGGCUCACGUGGCCUGCUCCACGUGCACAAGCAUAACGAGAUAGGGGCGCUAGAAGCCGCGGAGCUCCGAGUUCCAGUGCUGCUGGCCCCCUGUGCCUCAGCUGCAAGCAGAAAGGACCAAGUCAUGACCUCUGACGCUCUGGCCUGGAGCUCUGAUGAGUGUCCAAGGCACAAGGAGCGCCAGGGCCAAAGGAAUUUUCCACAGUCGAUACUCACUAGUUAACUUGUAUGCAAACUAAAGUAGCUUGGAAUUUACAUGUAUUUGUUAUUGUAUCAACUAGCAUUUUUAAAAGCAUUUUUACUGAUAUAUUUUUAAUUAUUUGAGCGUGGUUAUUUUCCCUUAAUUAGUAAAAAAGGAUCUUAAUCAUAGUAAAUGGGCUAUUAUUUAUCAACAGGCUAAGUUAAGAGAAGAAUCCCUCCUCAUCUAGCUGCGAAAAGACGUUUAGAAUUGUGCUCAGAGCUUCUUAUGUGCCGAGACAGAAUGAACCACAGAGACAGGAACAUUCCUCUCAGAGAAUCUUGUCUUUGUCACAGGUACGACAAAGAACGUGUAUUUUGUGUUACAGAAUUCAUCUUUCUGCACCUUGCUUUCCUCAUCUUGAAAGCUUGCAGGAGUUGUGGGUUUUAAUGUGUCCCCCUCCAAGAUGUGAAAGGUCAUGGUGGACUGACAACUGGAGGUCAGCUUGUAACACCCAGCUGAACUGAGUCAGCGUGGUUCUGGGUGUG